CCUACGGGGUGCAGCAGUGGGGAAUAUUGGACAAUGGGCGAAAGCCUGAUCCAGCCAUGCCGCGUGUGUGAAGAAGGCCUUCGGGUUGUAAAGCACUUUCAGUGGGGAAGAAAGCCUUGGGGCUAAUACCCUCGAGGAAGGACAUCACCCACAGAAGAAGCACCGGCUAACUCCGUGCCAGCAGCCGCGGUAAUACGGAGGGUGCGAGCGUUAAUCGGAAUUACUGGGCGUAAAGCGCGCGUAGGCGGUCUGAUAAGCCGGUUGUGAAAGCCCCGGGCUCAACCUGGGAACGGCAUCCGGAACUGUCAGGCUAGAGUGCAGGAGAGGAAGGUAGAAUCCCCGGUGUAGCGGUGAAAUGCGUAGAGAUCGGGAGGAAUACCAGUGGCGAAGGCGGCCUUCUGGACUGACACUGACGCUGAGGUGCGAAAGCGUGGGUAGCAAACAGGAUUAGAUACCCGGGUAGUC
RNAcentral lists this ribosomal RNA (465 nucleotides) under Vreelandella stevensii. RNAcentral's name for it is "partial 16S ribosomal RNA". It matches the Rfam family "Bacterial small subunit ribosomal RNA", at positions 338 to 795 of the family's 1533-position model. The record is from RNAcentral. Lineage: Bacteria; Pseudomonadati; Pseudomonadota; Gammaproteobacteria; Oceanospirillales; Halomonadaceae.